Molecule: ribosomal RNA, 328 nt
Filed under: uncultured bacterium
Lineage: Bacteria
Description: bacterial SSU rRNA
Rfam family: Bacterial small subunit ribosomal RNA
Source: RNAcentral
UCAGGCCUAACACAUGCAAGUCGUACGAGAGUUUUUAACUCUAGUGGCGGACGGGUGAGUAACACGUGAGAAUUUGCCUUUAGGAGGGGGACAACAAUUGGAAACGAAUGCUAAUACCCCAUAUGCUUUCGAGUGAAAUGGAUUUUAUCCGCCUAGAGAGAAGCUCGCGGCUGAUUAGCUUGUUGGUAAGGUAAGAGCUUACCAAGGCGACGAUCAGUAUCUGGUUUGAGAGGACGAUCAGACACACUGGAACUGAGACACGGUCCAGACUCCUACGGGAGGCAGCAGUGGGGAAUUUUCCGCAAGGGGCGAAAGCCUGACGGAGCAA